AAAUUGAAGAGUUUGAUCAUGGCUCAGAUUGAACGCUGGCGGCAGGCCUAACACAUGCAAGUCGAACGGUAGCACAGAGAGCUUGCUCUCGGGUGACGAGUGGCGGACGGGUGAGUAAUGUCUGGGAAACUGCCUGAUGGAGGGGGAUAACUACUGGAAACGGUGGCUAAUACC
This 174-nucleotide ribosomal RNA is filed under the name Salmonella enterica subsp. enterica serovar Infantis. RNAcentral describes it as "partial 16S ribosomal RNA". It matches the Rfam family "Bacterial small subunit ribosomal RNA", at positions 1 to 170 of the family's 1533-position model. The record is from RNAcentral. Lineage: Bacteria; Pseudomonadati; Pseudomonadota; Gammaproteobacteria; Enterobacterales; Enterobacteriaceae. RNAcentral also lists the same sequence under 5 other names.